AUACGAAGGGGGCUAGCGUUGUUCGGAAUUACUGGGCGUGAAGCGCGCGUAGGCGGACUGAUCAGUUGGGGGUGAAAUCCCAGGGCUUAACCCUGGAACUGCCUCCAAUACUGUCAGUCUUGAGUUCGGGAGAGGUGAGUGGAAUUCCCAGUGUAGAGGUGAAAUUCGUAGAUAUUAGGAAGAACACCAGUGGCGAAGGCGGCUCACUGGCCCGAUACUGACGCUGAGGCGCGAAAGCGUGGGGAGCAAACAGGAUUAGAAACCCUAGUAGUCC
RNAcentral lists this ribosomal RNA (274 nucleotides) under uncultured bacterium. Its description in RNAcentral is "partial 16S ribosomal RNA". It matches the Rfam family "Bacterial small subunit ribosomal RNA", at positions 523 to 796 of the family's 1533-position model. The record is from RNAcentral.